Molecule: ribosomal RNA, 253 nt
Filed under: uncultured bacterium
Lineage: Bacteria
Description: partial 16S ribosomal RNA
Rfam family: Bacterial small subunit ribosomal RNA
Source: RNAcentral
UACGUAGGGUGCGAGCGUUAAUCGGAAUUACUGGGCGUAAAGGGUGCGCAGGCGGCCGAGCAAGUCGAGUGUGAAAGCCCCGGGCUUAACUUGGGAAUUGCGCUCGAAACUACUUGGCUGGAGUGUGGCAGAGGAAGGUGGAAUUCCAGGUGUAGCGGUGAAAUGCGUAGAGAUCUGGAGGAACACCGGUGGCGAAGGCGGUUCUCUGGGCCUUACCUGACGCUGAGGAGCGAAAGCGUGGGGAGCGAACAGG